Long non-coding RNA from Oncorhynchus tshawytscha (Chinook salmon), 363 nucleotides. The record is from Ensembl. Lineage: Eukaryota; Metazoa; Chordata; Actinopteri; Salmoniformes; Salmonidae.
CUCCUGUCCUCUUGUUUAGGAAGGUGACUCCUGUCCUCUUGUUUAGGAAGGUGACUCCUGUCCUCUUGUUUAGGAAGGUGACUCCUGUCCUCUUGUUUAGGAAGAUGACUGGUUCUGUGACUGAUCUCAGACAGCUCUGCUGGAGUGGAUCCAUCUGAUCUUGGGAGAGAGGGUUCACUUUGGGCCCAAAUCAAAUCAAAUUUUAUUUGUCACAUACACAUGGUUAGCAGAUGUUAAUGCGAGUGUAGCGAAAUGCUUGUGCUUCUAGUUCCGACAAUGCAGUAAUAACGAACAAGUAAUCUAACUAACAAUUCCAAAAAACUACUGUCUUAUACACAGUGUAAGGGGAUAAAGAAUAUGUAC